This 253-nucleotide ribosomal RNA is filed under the name uncultured bacterium. RNAcentral describes it as "partial 16S ribosomal RNA". It matches the Rfam family "Bacterial small subunit ribosomal RNA", at positions 524 to 776 of the family's 1533-position model. The record is from RNAcentral.
UACGUAGGGGGCUAGCGUUAUCCGGAAUUACUGGGCGUAAAGGGUGCGUAGGUGGUUAAUUAAGUCUGAUGUGAAAGCCCACGGCUUAACCGUGGAGGGUCAUUGGAAACUGGUUGACUUGAGUGCAGAAGAGGGAAGUGGAAUUCCAUGUGUAGCGGUGAAAUGCGUAGAGAUAUGGAGGAACACCAGUGGCGAAGGCGGCUUCCUGGUCUGCAACUGACACUGAGGCGCGAAAGCGUGGGGAGCAAACAGG